Molecule: long non-coding RNA, 10218 nt
Organism: Hemicordylus capensis (graceful crag lizard)
Lineage: Eukaryota; Metazoa; Chordata; Lepidosauria; Squamata; Cordylidae
Exons: 2
Source: RefSeq, a predicted model, not a curated record
UUUCCCCUUUCCCCUCCUUUUCAACCUCCACACUCUUUACAGGAUCCCCACCGGGGAAAAUGUUAAAACAACAAAAUACAAAAGAUUACUGGAUAGAAUACCACACAUUCCUCCCCUUUAUAACAACCAAAAUUGAACGGAUUAAAAAUUUAGUGACAAAGUCUUUAAGUCUUUUAGGUGGUCCCCUGUCACACACACUUCUCCUAAGUCUUGAGUUCUCUGGCACAGGAGCUGUUUGUUCUUCUGGUACUGAGGCUCACCCAUCACUUUAAUCAGCCCAAUCUGUGGGGUCAAAACUGGAGACAAGAUCAAAUUCCUCUUCAGUUCCCCUCUUGAGAUCAGAUUCCCUUUCCUCUUGUCUCAUAGUAUGCAUGCUGGAAAGUCUCCAACUGUUCCAUUUCUUUCCAUCAUCCAAUAUGAUAGAAUCUCCUCAGAUUUCGAUUAUUUGUUUUAGUCCCAAAUAUCAGGAGCAUCCCGUUCUCACUUUAUAAGGCAAAUAUAAACAACAAAAACUCCCACCUGAAAUGUUUGCUGUUUUGCACCCUGUUUCUGAUCUACAUACAAUUUAUUUAUUUAUUUAUUGUUGCUUCUUCCUUACCCAAUCACGAAUCUCUGCAUCUUCAGGGAGAGAUGGCACAGAAAGUCCUAUCAGUUGUUGCCAUUGGGUAAGUUGGUGGUAACUUUGCAUCCUCUCAGUAGUUCAAAAGGUGAUUUUCCUGUAGUAGAAUGAGGAGUAGUUCAAUGAGCAAAUAGAUUUUCACGGAUUGCCUCCUUCCAGGGUUGCUGUUGAAUAGUAGCCAGUUGUAAACUUUAUUUCAUUAAUCUGUUCAUUCUUUCCACUAAGCCAUCCCUUGUUGUCAAGGGAUGUAGCCAGUAGUCAGUAUGUAGUCAGUGUCUGGUUACAUUUUCAAUGUGUGUGUCUAUACUUGGCCACCAAACACUUUCUGUGAUUUGCCUUUAGUCAAGGAAAUAGUCUUGUGUUUCAUCCCAUGGUUAUGCAAAUAUUGCUCCAUUUCAAAUGAGGUAAGCUGUGUCCCAUUGUCAGUCAUUAGCUCUUUAGGAAGACCUUCUCUUGCAAAAACUGCAGCCAUGAACUGUAUCACUUUAUCUGUAGUAAUGUUGUCAGCAAAUGAAACUUCAGGCCACUUGGAAUACUAAUCUACCAUCACUAUAACAAAUCUUUAUUUGUUAUAAAGGUUAUUAUAUCCAGAGCAAGUUUUCCCCAGAGACAACUGAGAUACUCUACUGGAGUCAAGUGGGUGGUAAAGGUCUUCUGUGAUUUGUUACAUACAGCACAAACCAUAUAUAAUCAGUGCCUGGUUACAUUUUCAAUGCGUGUGUCUAUGCCUAGCCACCAAAAACUUUCUGUGAUUUGCCUUUAGUCAAGCUCAUGCCCAAGUAACCUUCAUUGGCAAUUUUGAUCACUUUUGCUUGUAAGGAGGUUGGCACCACCAGUCAGUCCUCAGCACCAGCUCAUUGAGAAGGGACAGCUCCCUCACAAUGUGCAUGUAUGGUUGAAGAUGUUCAGGUAUCCUGUUUUUGUAUGGCCAUUCAUUAGUUAUGUAAGGAUUAAGUUCAAUAAGUAAGUAGUUGAUCAGCAUUGAGGGCCACUUUCCACUCAGAAGAUGAGAUCACUCCCAUGAGUGGAUGAAGCUAUUUGCACAAUUAUUACUCCUUCAUUUUUAUCUUCUGGGAUUUAAUUAAUUUUAAUUUAAUUUAAUUUAAUUUAAUUUACAUUUUCUAUCCCGCUCUUCCUCCAAGGAGCCCAGAGCGGUGUACUACAUACUUAUGUUUCUCCUCACAACAACUCUGUGAAGUAGGUUAGGCUGAGAGAGAAGUGACUGGCCCAGAGUCACCCAGCUAGUAUUAUGGCUGAAUGGGGAUUUGAACUCCGGUCUCCCCGGUCCUAGUCCAGCACUCUAGCCACUACACUACGCUGGCUCCCUCCAAGAGGGAUCUGCUCUUGGCCUGGAAGUGGAAGCCAAGAUAAACAAUCUGCAGUUGUAUUCUGAAUACCUGGAAGAUAUUCCACCUGGAAAUCAAAGUCCAUAAGUCAGGUGAUCCAUUUGGCUAUUCUUGGGGUUGCUUGACUCAAUCCCCAAGUAGUAAAUAAUGCAGAUAGGGGUUUAUAAUCUGACUGUAAAGAGAAUUUUGUGCCCCACAAGUAAGACCUUAAGUGCCUCACCACCCAGAAACACGCUAGUGCUGCUUUUUCAAUGACAGAAUACAUCUUCUCUGAUGCAGUAAGCACUCUGGAAACAAAGGCAACUGUAACUUCCCUCUCCCCUUUUUCCUGGGUCAAGACAGCACCCAAGCCAUAUUCAGAAGCGUCAGUGGUUACAAUAGUGUGCCUCUUGGUGUCAAAAGAAAUGAGAGCAGAGCUUUCAGCAAUGGCCAGUUUGACAGUAUGAAAACUAGCCUUGCAGGAUGCAUUCCAGUUAAAUGUUGUUUUCUUUUUAAAAAGAAGAUGCAAUGGAGCAACCUUUGAGGAAAAUUGUCUAACAAAUUUAGACUAAUACUCAGAGUCCUAAAAAUGAGCAAAAUGCAUCUGUUUGAUUGUUUAUCUGAUGCUUCCCAAAUAGCUUUCACCAAGUUUGUUCUGGGUUGUACAGCACUCUGAGAUAUUGUAAGGGUGUUCACAUGGCCUACAUGGUGGGCAGGCAAGAGGGGAGAAGGCAGGGUUCCAUCUACCUUCCUCCCAGAUCAGAAGACAAAUGUUGUCAAGAGCUGAAACCACGCUUCCAGACAAUCCAUACUGCACCAAGCAGUGCAGGUCUCCAGGAGCCAGGACGAAACAUCCCAGCCUCCAGAAUCCCACAAUGCACCAUGUGCCAAGCAUAGUACUACAUAGGGGGAUUCCCCCAUCAGUCAGGCAUUCUAGGUGCACAUCUCUGUGUGUACUCAGGCUGCAAGCAGCCCAAGCACAGAUACGAUCCUGACAGCUGGGUUAAGGGCACACUCGUUCCCUUAACCUCGGCUAAUAGCUGGGCUAAAGAGGUGGGUUUGGUGGCGCAGCAGCGCCAGGAUCCGCAUGGAUCCUGGUGGUUCCCAUGGGCAGUCAAGCCAAGGCUUGGCAGCUCAUAAGAACAGCCUUUGUGUGUCCCAAGUACGUCACUGAGUGAGUGCAAAACUGGCAUUUCUCUACAGAGAUAGUAAGUCCAUGUUGUCAGAAUUUUCUUAAGACUUCUGUCAGUUUAGCAUCAUGCGUCUCAAUGGUUUUACCAUACACUAAAAUGUCAUUCUGAAAAUAAGUGAUGCCAUCCGUAGUCCCAAAAAUUGUAUGCUUCAUUCUUUGAAAUACUGAAGCUGUAGAGGCUAAUCCAAAGGGCAGUCUUUUGAAUUAAAAAAUAUGUUCUGGGAUAACAUCUGAUAAGGCUAUGUAUUUGUGAGAACGUUUGAGCAGAGGAAUUUGAUGAUAGGCCAAAGACAAGUCAAAAGUUGUGAACACUGAAGCAGCAGCAGUUCAUUAAAACUGGGUAAUAAAUGACAAUCCACUACCAUGUUCAAGUUCACAUCUCUUAAAAUCAAUGCACAUUUGAAGUGUACUAUUUGAUUUUUGUACAAGAACAAUGGGAGAGACCCAUUCUGAGGAACCAACAGCCUUUAUGAUUCAGCAUGCUGUAGUCUUAUGAGUUCCUCUCUAAGUGGUUGGCACAGUGCUAUGGGUAAGUUCCUCACUUUGUGUUGUACAGGUAUUACAUUUGCCUUCAUCUGAAUUUUAUAUUUGAAACGUAUGGCAGUGCCAGGAGUAUCAGCAAAGACAUGCAAGAAAUCAGCAAUCAUGAUGAUGCUCCAUCAUCAGCAAUAUGGGUUCUGUGCUAUUUGGGACUAACACUAUCCACAGAUCUUUCUGAUGUUUCCAGCCCAAUAUUGAGACUCCUUUUUGUGACACAUACACUUUAUCUUUUGCAGUACAUCCUUUGUAUUUAGGACAGCAGUGAAGUAUCCAUUUAUGGCAAUAGGGAAACCUCCAUAUCCCCAUGGGUGGAUGUCUGAAGGCUACAGAUGCAGUCUGCAGAUCUGAUGUUGUAAGGAGCUUCUUGUAAAGCAUAUGGGAAAUGAUAGUGUACGGAGAACCAGAAUCAGCCAUUAUCCACACUUCAUGGCCAUUAGGUUUUACUUGACAAUGUGGAGACGCAGGCUCUGAGUCUGUCAUACUUAAACCGCUGUCGAGAAGUUGUUCAUCUGCCUUAUCCUUAUCAUAUAGUUAAUCACUAAUGGAGUGGACUGCAGACUUGCAAACCACAGCAGUGUCCCCUUUUCUUGAACCUGUUGCAAGUGACCUUCCAUGCAGAACAGUGAGCAAAAUUGCCUUUGUGGGCAGUCUCCACAUCAGUAGCAUUGGGAGCUCUUUCUUUCUUGUGCUGCCACUUUCUGGGGCAGUGCCAUACAGCAUUCUUUCUAACAGAGAAUUCCAGAGGUUGCUGACUACAACUCCCAGCAUCCCCAGCUGCAAUGGCCAUUGGCUGGGAAUUAUGGGAGUUGUAGUCAAUAACAUCUGGGAUUCCCUAUUAGAGGGAACACUGGUUCCAUAUGAGAAGAUUGGUUUUGGAAGGAUUUAGACUGAGCAGCCUGGAUUUCAGGAAGUUGGUUUUGGGGUACCAAAGAGAGUGAUUUGGCACAGUGAAGACCAUCUUUCACCCUCCUAGCCAUCUCUAUAACUUUAUCCAAGGUAAAUUUCAGUUCCAGUAGCAGUUUUUUAUGCAGUUUGGAGCAGUUUGUGUUCAUAACAAUCUGAUCUCUGAUAAUUUCAUCAAUAAAGUUGGCAAACCCAUAGUUUAAACUUAAGGCAUGCAAUGCUGUGACAUAUUGAUCAAUAGAUUCACCAGGCAGUUGAAUCUAACAUAGAACUUGUAUAAUUCAGCAAUCACAUUCAAAGUAGGGUUGAAAUGAUUAUCUAAGGCUUGAAGAGCAACUUCAUAAGGGUUGGCAUCCCAACUUGGUAGGAAACGGCAAAUGAGUAUAUAUUCUUUGGCCUUCAGGGCCCAGGCAGUGAAGCAAUAUAGUCUUGUGCUUUGCUAGAGUAAAGUCAGAAGUCUAUAGAGGUAAUUGCAGAAAUAGGACCUCCAUUGUUUCCAGGGAAGAGCAGAUUCUCCUGGGGUGGACAAGAAAAAAGGUGGUGGUGAAAUCUAAGCCAUGCUGCAGUGAGCAUCCCGUGAAAAACAGGAUCCAGGAGUGAUAAGAAAAAAGUACCUUCAGAGGUUGUGCAGGUCAGGGAGCUGGAGAAACAAUCAGCAGCAGCAGCAGUAGCAUGCAGCAGUUCAGGAAUGUAGAUUGCUUUUCAAGUAAUGCAAUGAAAUGAGGUUGCAGGAACAUUCACACGCUUUGCAGGCUCACACACAUAGCUGGUUCAUAAUUUUGUUGCCAAAUGCUUUAUAGCUGCUUCCCUCAUAAACUCAGAGCAAUCUUCUGUUUAACUAAGCUUUAUUUUUCUCCUUCUCCAUUUCCCCUGCCUUUUCUUUCUGACUCCUCCCCUCCACUCUCUACAGGAUCAACCCUGGGACAAAUGUACAAACAACAAAAUACAAAAAAUUACCGGAUAGAAUACAAGGUGAUGUGGGAAAUACAUAAUCAGAAUCUCCUGAGUGUUUUUUAAAACUAAUUUGAAGUCCUAUUAGUUUUUUAAAACUAAUUUGCAGAACAGUGGGAGGGAUAUUUUCCGGCCAUCCUGUUUAUCCAGUCUAAUCCUACAUCCCCAAGCUAUUAGCUCUGAAGAAUAAAACAUACAGCCCCAUCCCAAACUCUCAAAAUAACCUAAACUCUACUCUAAAGUGAGAUUUGUGUUUCUGUAGGUGUCAUAAGCUCUUACUAGUAAUUGUUUAUGAUAUUGCAAGUGAAACUUCAUGCUUUCCCUUUCCAGCACUGAGGGAGAGGAAUGAAGGAAUAGCAGUUUAAUGUCUUAAACAGGAAGUAGAGGCGAACCAUUGCAGGCUUAUUCUGCAGGCUUAUGAGAGUUAUCCCUCUCUUGAACCUUCUUCACGCACCCCCUCCCUAUAUUUGGCAUGCAGACAGUAUAUGGCACUACAGUUGAUAAAUAGAGAUAUAAAGGGACUAUUAUACAAAAAGGGGAACAGGCUGUGGGGCAUAUUGACUGAUCAUGGGGAAAGCCCCUAGAGGAGUGUUCACUGUAUGGAACAUAUUGCUGAAUGUAGGCCUAGUAGCUUUGACCAGCCAGCUUUAAAACCUCUUUAUAAAGAAGCCAUUUACAUUCCCUUUCAAAGCUAUUAAUAUGUCUUCUCCAGCUUCAUUCAGAGUACAUUUCAUUCAACUGAACAGUAUUACAUUGCACUGAAAUACACUGUAGUUAUUUUUUUUAGCCAUCAGCAAAUGUAAUAAAAGCAGCUGAAGGAAUGGCAGAGAAAUGGCAGCGAGGGUGAAGGUGGAAGGUUUCCUGAAAUGGUGGCAAGAUGGAAACUGAGUGAUGGACUAGCAGUUGCCUGGGAUGCUUAUUUGGGUAUAAGGACUAUAGAAAUAUGCUCACAUUUCAGCAGAAACAUGGUUCCAACAUUUUUCAGCCACCUAUAGUAUUAUUCAGAAUGAAUCAACUACAGAAUAUCCAUCUCCUAAAACAGACUUACUUCCAACCUGGCCUGCAAUCUCAGAACCAGAAUACAGAUGGUUAAUUGCCUCCCUGACUCCUGGGAAAGCCCCAGGGGAGUCUAAAAAGGACCUUUUGACCCUUCAGCUACAACCUUGGGAUUCUUUCAUUGCCAUUGUAUGCUUCUUUAUUGUUAAUACAUUUAUACAAUUGUCCAUUUUGUGAAUUGUCACAGAUGGGUUAUGAAUUUGUUUGUAUGGCAUCUUUUGGAUACAAUGGGUUUUUGGUAAUACGAUAUUGAUUCAUGGUAUGUAAUUUUUCCACAGAUUACUAUACAUGGUUUAUAUACAUAAUUUUAUGUAUAUGGUUUUUUUCUAUUAUUGAUAGAUUACUUUUCAGGUUACUGACAGAACUGCACUCCAAUCUCACAGCCAGGGUGAGAGUGGGUGGACAAGCAUCUCAAGAAAGGAGUCAAACAGGGCUGUUUACUGGGUCCCUUUUUAUUUAAUUUUUAUAUUAAUGACAUUGUUCAGACUAUGGAUUCACCAAAUCUCUUUUCCCCUUCGCUCAAUGGAUGGAAAGUUUCCGUCUUGAUGUAAGCCUGUUAUAUGGCACUUUUUCUUAUACUGAGAUUGGGCUUAGAAGAAUGCUGGCCAGAUUGGCCAACUACUGUGAAAAAGAAAAACUGAACUGAGGAACAAUGAUGAUAAAACAAAGGAGGUAGCCUUUGUACCCCUGCUAACUGAGCAAAGAGACACUUUUUAAAGUGGCGAUUCUCUUAUAUUUAUCAGGGGGAGACAACUGGUCUUAUCCAGCCCCAGCACAGCAUCCCUCCAGUGGCUGUUGCUGGUAUCUGCCUUAUGUUUCUUUUUUAUUGUGAGCCCUUUGGGGUCAGGGGACUAUUUUAUUUAUGUAUUAUUUAGUUUUCUUUGUAAACCACUUUGUGAACUUUGGUUGAAAAGUGGUAUAUAAGUAUUUGUCGUCGUCAUAGUCACCUUCAGCAGUAGAAAUAUUAAGCACAGAUGGUUAAUCAAUGCCCAGCAAAUAGAGCAAUGUUCUUCUUUGAAAUAUCUGGGUGGUUUAUCCCAGGAGUUCCUUUCAGGGAGAGUAUGUCUUAAUGCAGCACUAAUAACCACAUGAUGAACAGUGGAGGCUACUUUAAAUUUUUAAAGACAAAGUGGUUGCCUAGCUGGAAAUAAUACAGUACAACCUUUUAAGGGACAUUUUUGGUCUUCCUCAGGGCACUCCUGCCACACAUUUAAGAAUGGAGCUACCCCUCAAUUCUCCAUUAAGAGUUCAUUUGGCAUUGUUAAGAUACUUCAUGAAACUUGAUAGGCUCCCGGAAUAAAAUUUAGUGAAAUCCUGCUAUUUGCGUUAUCUAAAAGGGAACCAGUGGGAAAAUAUCUGUCCUACAUCAUGCAGCUGUACUCUUUGCCCUUGCUGAGGGAGCUUAAGUCUUAGAGGAGGGGGAAAUUCUGUGACUGGCUCAUUAAGUGGGAUGCUGAACUGGUGCAGCACCUGAAGUUUUCUUCAUAGUACCCUCACUUCAUUUAGUUCACAAUAUCUGGUCAAUCUCACCAGCACAACAUUAAGGAAGACAUUUACCACCCUACAAUUUAUGCCUUUGGAGUACCUUGAAAGGCAGAUUUCAUGAAGUCCUCAUGGAACAGCAUCUCUGCCCUUGUGGUCAGAGGCAAGUGGAAGACAUUAAACAUUAUGUCCUACACUGCCCCUUUUAUGAUGUAAUAAGAGAAAAAACAAUGGGAUAGAUUAUUGAUAAUUUUAUGGACUCUGAAGUGGAAUGUGUAACCUAUCUCUUGGCAGAUGUGAUAAUUUAUGUUACUUAUUAAAUAGACAUUUUUGCCUUGAUCUCUUUUUAAUUUAGAAAGAGAUUUGUCCCUGAUAAAUCCUCCAUAUUGGCUAAGUUGAAGCCUCAGGAUUAGCCUUACAUUGUUCAUUAUUCUAAUUGAAGGCCUAGUCCCAUGGUACCUAUUAACGUUGUAACAGCCGUUAGAGAUUUAAAGGAUGUCAUAAUUUCAUUUUAGUGCAUAUAAUAGUUUUAUGCAUUUUAUCAAUUAGUUGGUUUUUGGUUAUGUCUGGCUUGUGGGUUUUUUGCUAUGGGGUUUUUGUGUGUGUGUCUGUUUGUUGCUAUUUUUAUGUUUUAUCUAUAUGCUAUGUUAUGACCUGUGGUUACAACAAUAAACUUUAUUCUAAUUCUGAUUCAGUGGUGUAGUUAAAACCUGCCUGUACCAUAUAAACAACAUGUACAAAAAAAUGGGAUCUGGUGUAGUAUAGUGGUGACAUAUGAGAGCUAUAAGCCAUGAGGUCCCCAGUUCAAAUCCCAUCUCAGCUGUGAACUCAUUAGGUCCCUGAAGGCAAGCACCCAGUCUGAAAUAUUGGGAUAAUAAUACUUACUAGCCUUACAAGAUUAACUGUAACGAGGAUUGACUGAUAAAAACAAAUGUGAAGUUUUGAAUACUCCAAAAAGUACUAUAUAAAUGAUGACGGAACAUCCAUCGGCUGCCCUGUCUUGUGUUCGAGGAAAAGGCUGUGAUGCAGGUUUCUUGUUCCUGAUCCUCCUGCAUCCCAGAGUGCUGUAGUUAAAGAUUUGAUGCCAAAUAUCUGAAGAAGGCCUGAAGGCUAACAGGCCAGCCAGAUAUUAUACGACAUUAUUCCACAUUGCCCAUGAGGAGGGAGCCAAGGCUCUCAAGCACAUGGACAUCCGAGCUUGUCUAUGAACACUAGCCAAACAAGCCAAAGCAAUACAAGUGGAUCAGGAGGACAUCCAGGAUAGCCAAAAUCCUGCGACAUUGAACAAGACCAAGGACUCUUGGUUUUUACAUUCGAGGGCUCUCCAUGGUUUCCUUUGGCCAUGACAGACCCUAAAAGGACACAAAAGCGGGGUGAGAGUUGAUUUGAUCCACUUUUUUUCAUAGCAACUAUGUAUUGGGGUUUUUUUUUUUUUUUUGGUUGUUUAUUGAUACCUUGUUUAUUACCCCUGUUUAUCUCCUUGGGACGAGAGGCCGUUGAGAGAAUAGUAAGAAAAGAAACUGCCCCCCAUAUAAUGGCUAUGUAUACAAGGUUACCUCAGGAAGAGAAGCCAUAAAAUGGCUUCUAAGGGGGGAAAUGUGGAAUGAGGGGAAAAUGCCUUUUCUGAAAGCUGCUUUGUAAUCACUUUGUUCUCAUGGAAUGGGAAAGUGUCUUUGCAAAAAGUGUGAGACAGAACUCAGGUUUGCACUGGUCAAGAAAUGGUUAAUAGAGUCUGCAAGUUGCCUUGCCAAAUUGCAAGCUGUAAAGUCAUAAAUUUGCUGACAAGCUAGAGGGGGAAGAGCCCCCCUUUCCUUGUAUCUCCUGAAAAGCAAGGGCCAGCAAAAAAUAACACCUCAAGGAUAAAGAAGGAAGGCUUGCUUAUCAACGUAGAAUAAAAUGCUUCAUUGUACUAAGAGGAAUGUUUGUCUAAAUUAGCAAUGAUUAUAAUAUUUGUAAUAUGACGGACAAUGAUGUUAACCAAUGAAACGACUGGUCCCUCGGCGCUGAAUGUUGACGCCCAGCUAUAUAAUUAUGCCAAAGUAUAAUUACCCAGAACAAAGGCAGCUGCGCGCGACUCUCAGGUUUACCGUGAGGUACUGGGAGAAGCCACCAGCGCUGGGUUAAAUAAAUGGUGAUUUUGCUUCUUUCAA